AUCCUGCGCGGGAUUCGAACCCGCGUUCCUAUAGUUGGAAGGCAGGAACGCUAACCGCAACGCCGCGCCGGA
Araneus ventricosus is the source of this 72-nucleotide non-coding RNA. Lineage: Eukaryota; Metazoa; Arthropoda; Arachnida; Araneae; Araneidae. The record is from the annotation of a GenBank genome assembly.